This 484-nucleotide ribosomal RNA is filed under the name uncultured bacterium. RNAcentral describes it as "partial 16S ribosomal RNA". It matches the Rfam family "Bacterial small subunit ribosomal RNA", at positions 29 to 507 of the family's 1533-position model. The record is from RNAcentral.
AUUGAACGCUGGCGGCAUGCUUUACACAUGCAAGUCGAACGGUAGCGCGGGCUUCGGCCUGGCGGCGAGUGGCGAACGGGUGAGUAAUGCAUCGGAACGUGCCCAGUAGUGGGGGAUAGCGCGGCGAAAGCCGGAUUAAUACCGCAUACGACCUGAGGGUGAAAGCGGGGGACCGUAAGGCCUCGCGCUAUUGGAUGGGCCGAUGUCGGAUUAGCUAGUUGGUGGGGUAAAGGCCUACCAAGGCGACGAUCCGUAGCUGGUCUGAGAGGAAGACCAGCCACACUGGAACUGAGACACGGCCCAGACUCCUACGGGAGGCAGCAGUGGGGAAUUUUGGACAAUGGGGGCAAGCCUGAUCCAGCCAUGCCGCGUGCGGGAAGAAGGCCUUCGGGUUGUAAAGCGCUUUUGUUCGGGAAGAAAUCCUCUGAGCUAAUACCCCGGGGGGAUGACGGUACCGGAAGAAUAAGCACCGGCUAACUACGUG